RNAcentral lists this ribosomal RNA (468 nucleotides) under uncultured bacterium. RNAcentral describes it as "partial 16S ribosomal RNA". It matches the Rfam family "Bacterial small subunit ribosomal RNA", at positions 28 to 507 of the family's 1533-position model. The record is from RNAcentral.
GACGAACGCUGGCGGCGUGCUUAACACAUGCAAGUCGAACGGAAAGGCCCUGCUUUUGUGGGGUGCUCGAGUGGCGAACGGGUGAGUAACACGUGAGUAACCUGCCCUUGACUUUGGGAUAACUUCAGGAAACUGGGGCUAAUACCGGAUAGGAGCUCCUGCUGCAUGGUGGGGGUUGGAAAGUUUCGGCGGUUGGGGAUGGACUCGCGGCUUAUCAGCUUGUUGGUGGGGUAGUGGCUUACCAAGGCUUUGACAGGUAGCCGGCCUGAGCGGGUGACCGGCCACAUGGGGACUGAGAUACGGCCCAGACUCCUACGGGAGGCAGCAGUGGGGAAUAUUGCACAAUGGGCGGAAGCCUGAUGCAGCAACGCCGCGUGCGGGAUGAAGGCCUUCGGGUUGUAAACCGCUUUCGCCUGUGACGAAGCGUGAGUGACGGUAAUGGGUAAAGAAGCACCGGCUAACUACGUG